GACGAACGCUGGCGGCGUGCUUAACACAUGCAAGUCGAACGGAAAGGCCCUGCUUUUGUGGGGUGCUCGAGUGGCGAACGGGUGAGUAACACGUGAGUAACCUGCCCUUGACUUUGGGAUAACUUCAGGAAACUGGGGCUAAUACCGGAUAGGAGCUCCUGCUGCAUGGUGGGGGUUGGAAAGUUUCGGCGGUUGGGGAUGGACUCGCGGCUUAUCAGCUUGUUGGUGGGGUAGUGGCUUACCAAGGCUUUGACGGGUAGCCGGCCUGAGAGGGUGACCGGCCACAUGGGGACUGAGAUACGGCCAAGACUCCUACGGGAGGCAGCAGUGGGGAAUAUUGCACAGUGGGCGGAAGCCUGAUGCAGCAACGCCGCGUGCGGGAUGACGGCCUUCGGGUUGUAAACCGCUUUCGCCUGUGACGAAGCGUGAGUGACGGUAAUGGGUAGAGAAGCACCGGCUAACUACGUG
This 468-nucleotide ribosomal RNA is filed under the name uncultured bacterium. RNAcentral's name for it is "partial 16S ribosomal RNA". It matches the Rfam family "Bacterial small subunit ribosomal RNA", at positions 28 to 507 of the family's 1533-position model. The record is from RNAcentral.